UCAGGACGAACGCUGGCGGCGUGCUUAACACAUGCAAGUCGAACGGAAAGGCCCUUCGGGGUACUCGAGUGGCGAACGGGUGAGUAACACGUGGGUGAUCUGCCCUGCACUUUGGGAUAAGCCUGGGAAACUGGGUCUAAUACCGAAUAUGACCACGCUCUUCAUGGGGUGUGGUGGAAAGCUUUUGCGGUGUGGGAUGGGCCCGCGGCCUAUCAGCUUGUUGGUGGGGUAAUGGCCUACCAAGGCGACGACGGGUAGCCGGCCUGAGAGGGUGACCGGCCACACUGGGACUGAGAUACGGCCCAGACUCCUACGGGAGGCAGCAGUGGGGAAUAUUGCACAAUGGGCGCAAGCCUGAUGCAGCGACGCCGCGUGAGGGAUGACGGCCUUCGGGUUGUAAACCUCUUUCACCAGGGACGAAGCGUAAGUGACGGUACCUGAGAGAG
This 446-nucleotide ribosomal RNA is filed under the name soil bacterium 03G-10. RNAcentral's name for it is "bacterial SSU rRNA". It matches the Rfam family "Bacterial small subunit ribosomal RNA", at positions 24 to 487 of the family's 1533-position model. The record is from RNAcentral.